This 97-nucleotide signal recognition particle RNA is filed under the name Zooshikella harenae. RNAcentral describes it as "signal recognition particle sRNA small type". It matches the Rfam family "Bacterial small signal recognition particle RNA". From Rfam's summary of the family: The signal recognition particle (SRP) is a universally conserved ribonucleoprotein involved in the co-translational targeting of proteins to membranes. Archaeal SRP consists of a 7S RNA and homologues of the eukaryotic SRP19 and SRP54 proteins. The record is from RNAcentral. Lineage: Bacteria; Pseudomonadati; Pseudomonadota; Gammaproteobacteria; Oceanospirillales; Zooshikellaceae.
UGUUGGUCCCCUCGCAAUGAAUAUCUGCGAACUCCGCCAGGCCCGGAAGGGAGCAACGGUAGCAGUGACUUCAUGUGCCGAGGUGUGGCUGAUAAGG